Molecule: ribosomal RNA, 496 nt
Filed under: uncultured bacterium
Lineage: Bacteria
Description: partial 16S ribosomal RNA
Rfam family: Bacterial small subunit ribosomal RNA
Source: RNAcentral
GAUGAACGCUGGCGGCGUGCCUAAUACAUGCAAGUCGAGCGAACAGAUGAGGAGCUUGCUCCUCUGACGUUAGCGGCGGACGGGUGAGUAACACGUGGAUAACCUACCUAUAAGACUGGGAUCACUUCGGGACACCGGAGCUAAUACCGGAUAAUCUAUUGAACCGCAUGGUUCAAUAGUGAAAGACGGUUUUGCUGUCACUUCUCGCUGGUUCCGGGCCGCAUUAGUUAGUUGGUAGGGUAACGGCUUACCAAGGCAACGGUGCGUAGCCGACCUGGGAGGGGGUUCGGCGACUGAGAAGCUGAGCCGCGAUCCAGACACCGACGGAAGGCAGCAGUAGGUAAGGUUCCGCAAUGGGGGAAAGCCUGACGGAGGAACGCCACGUGAAUGAAGAAGGGCUUCGGAUCGGAAAACGCUGUUAUUGGGGAAAAACAAAUGUGUAAGUAACGAUGCACGUCUUGACGGUACCGGAGAAGAAGGCCCCGGCAAACUAGGG